This 506-nucleotide ribosomal RNA is filed under the name uncultured bacterium. RNAcentral's name for it is "bacterial SSU rRNA". It matches the Rfam family "Bacterial small subunit ribosomal RNA", at positions 12 to 518 of the family's 1533-position model. The record is from RNAcentral.
UUCGAUUCUGGCUCAGGAUGAACGCUGGCGGCGUGCUUAACACAUGCAAGUCGAACGGAGUUUUUAAGUGGAAGUUUCGGAUGGAAGUUUAAAAACUUAGUGGCGGACGGGUGAGUAACGCGUGGGUAACCUGCCUCAUACAGGGGGAUAACAGUUAGAAAUGACUGCUAAGACCGCAUAAUAUAGCGAAACCGCAUGAUUUUGCUAUCAAAUAUUUAUAGGUAUGAGAUGGGCCCGCGUCUGAUUAGCUAGUUGGUGGGGUAAAAGCCUACCAAGGCGACGAUCAGUAGCCGGCUUGAGAGAGUGACCGGCCACAUUGGGACUGAGACACGGCCCAAACUCCUACGGGAGGCAGCAGUGGGGAAUAUUGGACAAUGGGGGAAACCCUGAUCCAGCGAACCGCCGCGUGAGUGAAGAAGUAUUUCGGUAUGUAAAGCUCUAUCAGCAGGGAAGAUAAUGACAGUACCUGACUAAGAAGCCCCGGCUAACUACGUGCCAGCCGCUGC